Molecule: small RNA, 168 nt
Filed under: Sphenodon punctatus (tuatara)
Lineage: Eukaryota; Metazoa; Chordata; Lepidosauria; Sphenodontia; Sphenodontidae
Description: TUC338 (ENSSPUG00000007323.1)
Source: RNAcentral
UUGACAGCACUAGAGAUUCAAGUAUCUUAGUCAUUUGCAGAAUGAACAUGGCACAAGUAAAGGCAGUGCAGAUUUCUGCACACUGCCCUGCCAAUGUACCUCAACUGUGACUAGGAAGAACCACCUCUGGGAAGUUAAGUCUCUAUGCCCAUUAAAUCCUUGGCACCU